This is a long non-coding RNA of Raphanus sativus (radish), 574 nucleotides long. RefSeq lists it as uncharacterized. The transcript is spliced from 3 exons. NCBI's taxonomy places the organism in Eukaryota, Viridiplantae, Streptophyta, Magnoliopsida, Brassicales, Brassicaceae. The record is from RefSeq and is a predicted model, not a curated record.
AAUUCUUUUCAUCUGUUGGAGCCGUCAAGAAAAAAAAAAAACAAGGGAUUUUUUUCUCCCACCAUCUCUCCUCUCUCGGGCUCUCUCUCCCGCCUCUCGUCUCUGCCGCCAUGACAUCUCUCCUUGUCGCCAGCACUCCUCUCUCUCACACACAGCCGGAUCUACUUUAUCUCACGCCCCACACCACCAUGGUUGGAGGAAGCAAGGCACGAUGAGGCCGGAGCCACACUUCCAUGGGAGAUGAAGGAUUGAGAAGAAGCUUGAUGGUUAAGGAGACAGGGCCGGUGGUGGUGCGGCUGUGGUUGUGGCGCGGCUCUGGUGGUGGUGCGGUGGAGGAGGCAAGGAGCCGGCUGAUUUAUUUUCUAGGAUUAAUUUUUUUUUUAGAAUUAGGUUUGGUUAAGUUUAGUUAGGUUAGCUUAAUUAGGUUUAGUUAAACUGGUUUAUUUAACUAAACCAGCUUAUUAUAAUUUUUUAGCUUAUUAUAAUUUUUUUAGGCUUUUAAUAUAUUCGUGUAUUUAAAUAUGUAUCUGUAUGUAUAUAUAUUUCGUUAUAUAUAUUUAUUUACAUUUUUUUA